GAUGAAGGACGUAGCGAACUGCGAUAAGUAAUGUGAAUUGCAGAAUUCAGUGAAUCAUCGAGUCUUUGAACGCACAUUGCGCCCCCUGGUAUUCCGGGGGGCAUGCCUGUCCGAGCGUCAUUGCUGCCCUCAAGCCCGGCUUGUGUGUUGGGCCGUCGUCCCCCCUCCCGGGGGGACGGGCCCGAAAGGCAGCGGCGGCACCGCGUCCGGUCCUCGAGCGUAUGGGGCUUCGUCACCCGCUCUUGUAGGCCCGGCCGGCGCUUGCCGACACAUCGAUCUUUUUUCCAGGUUGACCUCGGAUCAGGUAGGGAUACCCGCUGAACUUAAGCAUAUCAAUAAGCGGAGGA
This 347-nucleotide unclassified non-coding RNA is filed under the name soil metagenome. RNAcentral's name for it is "partial contains 5.8S ribosomal RNA, internal transcribed spacer 2, and large subunit ribosomal RNA". The stretch from base 1 to 120 matches the Rfam family "5.8S ribosomal RNA", at positions 35 to 154 of the family's 154-position model. The record is from RNAcentral.